GAUGAACGCUGGCGGCGUGCCUAACACAUGCAAGUCGAGCGAUUCUCUUCGGAGAAGAGCGGCGGACGGGUGAGUAACGCGUGGGUAACCCGCCCUGUACACACGGAUAACAUACCGAAAGGUAUGCUAAUACGAGAUAAUAUGCUUUUAUCGCAUGGUAGAAGUAUCAAAGUUUUUGCGGUACAGGAUGGACCCGCGUCUGAUUAGCUAGUUGGUAAGGUAACGGCUUACCAAGGCGACGAUCAGUAGCCGACCUGAGAGGGUGAUCGGCCACAUUGGGGCUGGGACACGGUCCAAACUCCUACGGGAGGCAGCAGUGGGGAAUAUUGCACAAUGGGCGAAAGCCUGAUGCAGCAACGCCGCGUGAGCGAUGAAGGCCUUCGGGUCGUAAAGCUCUGUCCUCAAGGAAGAUAAUGACGGUACUUGAGGAGGAAGCCCCGGCUAACUACGUGCCAGCCGCCGCGGUAA
This 468-nucleotide ribosomal RNA is filed under the name uncultured bacterium. RNAcentral describes it as "partial 16S ribosomal RNA". It matches the Rfam family "Bacterial small subunit ribosomal RNA", at positions 28 to 523 of the family's 1533-position model. The record is from RNAcentral.